Molecule: ribosomal RNA, 253 nt
Filed under: uncultured bacterium
Lineage: Bacteria
Description: partial 16S ribosomal RNA
Rfam family: Bacterial small subunit ribosomal RNA
Source: RNAcentral
UACGUAGGGUGCAAGCGUUGUCCGGAAUUAUUGGGCGUAAAGAGCUUGUAGGCGGUUUGUCGCGUCUGCUGUGAAAUUUCGGGGCUCAACCCCGAACUUGCAGUGGGUACGGGCAGACUAGAGUGUGGUAGGGGAGACUGGAAUUCCUGGUGUAGCGGUGAAAUGCGCAGAUAUCAGGAGGAACACCAAUGGCGAAGGCAGCUCGCUGGAACGGUACUGACGCUGAGGCGCGAAAGCGUGGGGAGCGAACAGG